This is a long non-coding RNA of Perca flavescens (yellow perch), 390 nucleotides long. RefSeq lists it as uncharacterized. NCBI's taxonomy places the organism in Eukaryota, Metazoa, Chordata, Actinopteri, Perciformes, Percidae. The record is from RefSeq and is a predicted model, not a curated record. The transcript is spliced from 3 exons.
UAAUGAUCCCCUGACUUUUGGUGGUUCCAUUAGGUCCACAUUUCAGCUUGUGAGUGAAAUGUCUCAAAUAGCACCAUCAUCAGGAGUUGAUGAAGGCAACAACAAAACCACAAGGAGAGCGAAUAAUAAAAUUACCUUCAUCAGAUGGAUAAAAACAUGACUGAAUGAUAAUGUUGCUCCAUGUCUGCUGGCUGUGUAAAUAGGUGGUGACCCUGCUCUCUUCCUGCUCUGAAUGCCGUCUCUCUUCACUGUUGGAUAUUUGGACAUCCAUGGUAAUGGUGCAGAUCACAGACAGGAUCAUCUGACCCUUCAGGUUGUAGUCAGAAACUCUCCAUUUCCUUGGACGCUGUCGUCCAUCAGGUGAGUGAACUGAGGAGGUGACUCUCACAA